GUCAAGGUGGCAGAGUUCGGCGACUGCAAAAGACCUAAGCCCUUUUUACAGAGGUUCAAGUCCUCUCCCUGACU
RNAcentral lists this transfer RNA (74 nucleotides) under Pempheris schwenkii (black-stripe sweeper). RNAcentral's name for it is "tRNA-Leu(UUR)". It matches the Rfam family "tRNA". Rfam says of the family: Transfer RNA (tRNA) molecules are approximately 80 nucleotides in length. Their secondary structure includes four short double-helical elements and three loops (D, anti-codon, and T loops). Lineage: Eukaryota; Metazoa; Chordata; Actinopteri; Acropomatiformes; Pempheridae. The record is from RNAcentral.